UUGGAGGGCAAGUCUGGUGCCAGCAGCCGCGGUAAUUCCAGCUCCAAUAGCGUAUAUUAAAGUUGUUGCAGUUAAAAAGCUCGUAGUUGAAUUUCGGGGUUCCACCGUUGGUCGGGCUAUUGUUUGUACUGGCGUGUUGAAUUUCUACCUUCUGGGGAACUAUCAUGUUAUUAAUUUAGCGUGGUAGGAAACCAGGACCUUUACCUUGAAAAAAUUAGAGUGUUCAAAGCAGGUUUAUGUCUGAAUACAUUAGCAUGGAAUAAUAAAAUAGGACGGUGGUCCUGUUUUGUUGGUUUCUGAAUCACCGUAAUGAUUAAUAGGGAUAGUUGGGGGCAUUAGUAUUCAAUUGUCAGAGGUGAAAUUCUUGGAUUUAUUGAAGACUAACUACUGCGAAAGCAUUUGCCAAGGAUGUUUUCAUUAAUCAAGAACGAAAGUUAGGGGAUCGAAGACGAUCAGAUACCGUCGUAGUCUUAACCAUAAACUAUGCCGACUAGGGAUCGGACGAUGUUAACUUUUCUUGACUCGUUCGGCGCCUUACGGGAAA
RNAcentral lists this ribosomal RNA (544 nucleotides) under uncultured Glomeromycotina. RNAcentral describes it as "SSU rRNA". It matches the Rfam family "Eukaryotic small subunit ribosomal RNA", at positions 548 to 1097 of the family's 1831-position model. The record is from RNAcentral. Lineage: Eukaryota; Fungi; Glomeromycota.